RNAcentral lists this ribosomal RNA (484 nucleotides) under uncultured bacterium. RNAcentral's name for it is "bacterial SSU rRNA". It matches the Rfam family "Bacterial small subunit ribosomal RNA", at positions 29 to 487 of the family's 1533-position model. The record is from RNAcentral.
AACUAACGCUGGCGGCGUGCCUAACACAUGCAAGUCGUACGAGAAAGCCGGCUUCGGCUGGUGAGUAAAGUGGCGCACGGGUGAGUAACGCGUGGAUAAUCUGCCCUUAAGUGUGGAAUAACGUACCGAAAGGUGCGCUAAUACCGCAUAAUGCCUGGCAACACAAGUUGUCCGGCCAAAGAAGGCCUCUGUUUACAAGCUUUCGCUUCAGGAUGAGUCCGCGUACCAUUAGCUUGUUGGUGGGGUAAUGGCCUACCAAGGCUGCGAUGGUUAGCUGGUCUGAGAGGAUGAUCAGCCACACUGGAACUGAGACACGGUCCAGACUCCUACGGGAGGCAGCAGUGAGGAAUAUUGCGCAAUGGGGGCAACCCUGACGCAGCAAACGCCGCGUGAGUGAGGAAGGUUUUCGGACUGUAAAGCUCUGUCGAGCGGGAAGAAGUGUACCAUGGCUAAUAUCCAUGAUAUUUGACGGUACCGCUAGAGG